UGGGGAAUUUUGGACAAUGGGGGAAACCCUGAUCCAGCCAUCCCGCGUGUGCGAUGAAGGCCUUCGGGUUGUAAAGCACUUUUGGCAGGAAAGAAGCGUCGCGGGUUAAUACCCCGCGAAACUGACGGUACCUGCAGAAUAAGCACCGGCUAACUACGUGCCAGCAGCCGCGGUAAUACGUAGGGUGCAAGCGUUAAUCGGAAUUACUGGGCGUAAAGCGUGCGCAGGCGGUUCGGAAAGAAAGAUGUGAAAUCCCAGAGCUUAACUUUGGAACUGCAUUUUUAACUACCGGGCUAGAGUGUGUCAGAGGGAGGUGGAAUUCCGCGUGUAGCAGUGAAAUGCGUAGAUAUGCGGAGGAACACCGAUGGCGAAGGCAGCCUCCUGGGAUAACACUGACGCUCAUGCACGAAAGCGUGGGGAGCAAACAGGAUUAGAUACCCUGGUAGUCCACGCCCUAAACGAUGUCAACUAGCUGUUGGGGCCUUCGGGCCUUGGUAGCGCAGCUAACGCGUGAAGUUGACCGCCUGGGGAGUACGGUCGCAAGAUUAAAACUCAAAUGAAUUGACGGGGUCGAU
This 575-nucleotide ribosomal RNA is filed under the name uncultured bacterium. RNAcentral's name for it is "partial 16S ribosomal RNA". It matches the Rfam family "Bacterial small subunit ribosomal RNA", at positions 355 to 923 of the family's 1533-position model. The record is from RNAcentral.